CCCUAACCCAGACGAAGCUAGGCCAAUUGUGCGUCGCCCCAUGGACCUCUCGGUCACGGCCGGCUGUGAAAGAGCCUGGGCUCGAACCCAGAGUUUCUGGUGGAACAGCCACAGGUGGCCUUAGACCACUGCACCACCCAGGAGGCCCAUAAAACAUAUUUAUUGGGUAAAAACAACCUUGUGUAGACUGGGAUUUGUUGUUGUUGAUUGAAUAAUGGUCAUAAAUGGGACUCACUAAUGCCUGGAUAUUAGGAUAGAUAUGGAUAUUAGCCUACAGUAUAAUCCACUGGUACUGGUGAGUGAAAUUAUGUCAGUAGGCACUUAUGUCAAGGUUGCUGAGGUGGUAAGUAUUUACUAUAGGCCAGCUGGCAAGACAGGUGUCCGGUUUUAACGUGUCUCUACCUGCACAAUGUUUGACCUGACAUAGACACUGAUAGCAUUGUUAUUACUACAUUAUGAUCCGUUUUUAUCAAUCAAAUGAUAAAUGAAUAACAAUACCAUACUCGUUUGAAAUUCUUCAAUUGGCUCUCAUAAUCUUAAUGAUGUGUUUUUUCUCUCCUCCAAAACAUUCACUGCACAUUAAGAUGCUAUGGUUAAAACGCAUGCAUUUGCUUAGAUGGGGAGCUGCGGUUGUAGUGAAACAUACAUGUCACCAGCAGAGGGCCAAUGAGGAGAGCAGAGUAUAUUCAGAAUCAGACACCGGUGACCUUUCUGUGAGGGGUCAUGCACGUGCAGGCACAGCAGAUCAACGUCCCACCUCUGCUGCCAGUCAUGGCUUCUUACACUCAGCUUGCAGUGCCCCUUGUGGCGGGAGGUCAGGACUACAGUUACCACAACACAGACACGGCCUAUGCUCAGCUUCAGCAUCAGAGUCCUUCAGCCACGUUAGGCGAGAAAAUGGAUGAGGGUCCUGGUUUUGAUUGAGCAAACAUACUCAUGAUUCACACCUGUUUCUGGUGAUUUAAUAUUAAACAUGCUCAUUUAUGUUCACUCCUUUUUACAUAAUUUGUGUAAUCAUACAUGUUUCUGUUGUUAACUGUGAUAUGAGGACUUCAUGCUUUGAUUUCAUUGUAUUCUUCUAGAGGCUGAUCAUUCUUCUGGCCCAGGCAUGGUGAGUCCUUGGGAGUUUUAUUGACUACCGAACAUACAUUACAUGCAAUACACAAACAUACCUCCCAUCGGCCCAUGCAAAUUAGCGUUGAAUUGAACUUAAUCUCUGUAAAGAUUUCUAGUUAUUUACUGAGCACCUGCUGUUUGUGUUAGUGGUGCUAUAUUUUAUGUGUAUACUCAUAGUAAAGUUAAGCUUAUUGUCAAGGUGUACAACAUUUGCAGCUAAGAGCUGAAUUGCAUCUAAAUAAACAAAUAAUUACAUAAUCAAAUCAAUCAUGUGAAAAGAUUCAUCGUCCCAUAUGAAUGUUGGGAAGAUGCCGGUGGCAGGGUAUGGUCAACAGUAUGAUCAGAAGUAUGGUUAUGGAGGUCAGAAGGCAUGCCAGCAGGGAGGGCACCAGGCCACCAUCACGCAGGAGGGAAAGGCCACAGAGACAGACAAAAUCCAACUAAAACAGAGCAACAAGUCAGGGUGGUUUAGCAGCUGGUUCAGACCCGAGUCCAAAGAGCAGCAAAGUGAGACGUCUCACUAUGCGGACUCAGCUGACCCGGUUCCCACUACUUUAAGGGUCAAGCAUGCCUACUUUUAACUCUUACCCAGCCAUUCGUCAGAGGACAUAACAGCAUGCGCUGCAGCACGGAUGUCAAGUCAGUGAUCUCAAGUUUAGGUUUUGUAGUGUACCGUCCAACAAAUCAUGUCGAUGGAUUUAACAACAUUUUGUUAUAUCUUAUAAACUUAGUGAAAUAUAAAAACUUUAAUGAAAAGGAUUCUUAAAGUGAACCACGAAGGCCACCAGUUUUGGAUAUUAUUAUUAGGAUAUUCAGAGUAUUUGACCUUGUACUUCUCAUAAGACCCAGCGGAGGUGUUGACAAUCUUUCAUUUGAAUGUAGACCCAUUAAACUUUUUAACAGAUGUCAAAAACUAGCUCUAAGUAGGGCAUGGUAUUUGCUGUUGGUCAACCAACUCUUCCCAAUUAUUUGUCAACGUUAGUAACACCUUCUGUUAUUGGCAGAAAGCUUAAAUUCUUGUUAAUCUAACUGCACUGUCCAAUUUACAGUAGAUAUUACAGUGAAGGA
This is a long non-coding RNA of Oncorhynchus kisutch (coho salmon), 2184 nucleotides long. RefSeq lists it as uncharacterized. The transcript has 3 exons. The record is from RefSeq and is a predicted model, not a curated record. Lineage: Eukaryota; Metazoa; Chordata; Actinopteri; Salmoniformes; Salmonidae.